GUUGCUGUGGCUCAUAUCAGCUUCCAGAAACACCCGGCCCUGAGAGGCCCAGCACUGCCCCCCUCCCUGGCACGCUGGCCUCUCUACCAGGUAGGGGGGUCCUGCUCGCUCUGUCCACCGCGUCCUGCAGGCCACACACAUUUUGGCCAUGGCCGAUAGGUAAGAGGACUGGCUGGUGGGCCCCUCCAGGACUUUCCUUGCCAGGCACCUGGGUGGAAGUAGGAAGGGCUGAAGGACUCUCUAGGGUGUGAGCUGACCCCUGGAGGUCACCAUCCACCUGACCUAUCCCCAGCCUCCAAACUAUGCUCAGCAUAUGAAUGAGAGGGGGUGGGGGCUCUGGACCUGGGUGAGCCUGGGGGAGGAGGAGAGAGGAAAGAGCAGCAAGAAGAAAGCCUGGGAGGGUCAGUGUAUGGAGGAGGGGAGAAGGGGAUAAAAAAGAGGAAACUUGGCAGAAGAGGGUCUGAUAGAUAUGGCUCCAGAGUCAGACUGUUUAGGACUUCCCUGGUGGCCCAGGGAUUAAGACUCCGCACUUCCAAUGUAGGGGGUGUGGAUUCAGUCCCUGGUCAGGGAACCAAGAUUGCACAUGCUGUGCAAAGUGGCCAAAAAAAAAAAAAAAAUUCAGAGUCAGACUGUCCAGCACCACUAACUUGCUAUAUGAGCUUAAGCAGGUAACUUUUUUUUGUUGGAGCUUCAAUUUCCGUCAUAAAACUAGCAUAAUCUUAUUCCACUGGAUUGUUAUGCAGAGGCAAGGAAAUAAGAUUCAAGGAUCUACCACCACAGUCAAGAUAUUCAACAGUUCCAACAACACAAAGGUGCUCCCUUUCAUAAUCAUACCCUCCUCCCUUCCAUCCUUAACCCCUGGCAACCUCCUGUGUCACCCAUUUCUAAAACUGUCAAUUCAGAAAUGUUAUGUAGGUGUCUUGCUGGGAGAUGGUGUACAAUCAAAUGAAGAUGUCUACAAAAUGAAAAACCUUUUAAGUACUGAUAAAUAUCACAUUAAAUGACAAAAAAAAAAAGAAAUGUUAUGUAAAUUAAAUCAUACAAUGGG
Long non-coding RNA from Bos taurus (domestic cattle), 1048 nucleotides. NCBI's taxonomy places the organism in Eukaryota, Metazoa, Chordata, Mammalia, Artiodactyla, Bovidae. The record is from Ensembl.